AUUGAACGCUAGCGGCAUGCUUAACACAUGCAAGUCGAACGGUAACAGGCCUAGCUUGCUAGGUGCUGACGAGUGGCGGACGGGUGAGUAACGCGUAGGAAUCUACCUUGUAGUGAGGAAUAACCUGGGGAAACUCAGGCUAAUACCGCAUGAGCCCUAAGGGGGAAAGCAGGGGACCGAAAGGCCUUGUGCUAUGAGAUGAGCCUGCGUCGGAUUAGCUAGUUGGUGGGGUAAAGGCCUACCAAGGCGAUGAUCCGUAGCUGGUCUGAGAGGACGA
This 277-nucleotide ribosomal RNA is filed under the name uncultured bacterium. RNAcentral's name for it is "partial 16S ribosomal RNA". It matches the Rfam family "Bacterial small subunit ribosomal RNA", at positions 30 to 303 of the family's 1533-position model. The record is from RNAcentral.